ACGCGACCGGGAGGUCAGG
This 19-nucleotide ribosomal RNA is filed under the name Ficus tuerckheimii. RNAcentral describes it as "partial 28S ribosomal RNA". The record is from RNAcentral. Lineage: Eukaryota; Viridiplantae; Streptophyta; Magnoliopsida; Rosales; Moraceae.